GAAAAUGAACAAAAAAAAAAAAAAUCAUGAUGCCCAUGGAUGAUGUCAUUGUCAAAACCUACAAUUUUAUUUGCCUAAUGCAGGACCUGAGUAAAUCACUGUCUUAGUAUACCUGAUUUGAUAAGGCAUUGAAGCAAGUUAUCCAAAUAUAAAAACAAAAAACAGCUCCGGGAUCGCAGACAGAUGAGAUGGAAUAGCUUUUCAUUAUAUACAAGAGCCAACAAUUACCCACAUCACACACACGCACACUGAGAUAUACCUGCGUGAGGCCGUUGCGGUCUCGCUAUCCUUUAGCUUCUGUUCUUGU
Molecule: unclassified non-coding RNA, 307 nt
Filed under: Hevea brasiliensis (rubber tree)
Lineage: Eukaryota; Viridiplantae; Streptophyta; Magnoliopsida; Malpighiales; Euphorbiaceae
Source: RNAcentral